This 1343-nucleotide ribosomal RNA is filed under the name uncultured bacterium. RNAcentral describes it as "16S ribosomal RNA". It matches the Rfam family "Bacterial small subunit ribosomal RNA", at positions 28 to 1378 of the family's 1533-position model. The record is from RNAcentral.
GACGAACGCUGGCGGCGUGCUUAACACAUGCAAGUCGAACGGAAAGGCCCUGCUUUUGUGGGGUGCUCGAGUGGCGAACGGGUGAGUAACACGUGAGUAACCUGCCCUUGACUUUGGGAUAACUUCAGGAAACUGGGGCUAAUACCGGAUAGGAGCUCCUGCUGCAUGGUGGGGGUUGGAAAGUUUCGGCGGUUGGGGAUGGACUCGCGGCUUAUCAGCUUGUUGGUGGGGUAGUGGCUUACCAAGGCUUUGACGGGUAGCCGGCCUGAGAGGGUGACCGGCCACAUUGGGACUGAGAUACGGCCCAGACUCCUACGGGAGGCAGCAGUGGGGAAUAUUGCACAAUGGGCGGAAGCCUGAUGCAGCAACGCCGCGUGCGGGAUGACGGCCUUCGGGUUGUAAACCGCUUUCGCCUGUGACGAAGCGUGAGUGACGGUAAUGGGUAAAGAAGCACCGGCUAACUACGUGCCAGCAGCCGCGGUGAUACGUGGGGUGCGAGCGUUGUCCGGAUUUAUUGGGCGUAAAGGGCUCGUAGGUGGUUGAUCGCGUCGGAAGUGUAAUCUUGGGGCUUAACCCUGAGCGUGCUUUCGAUACGGGUUGACUUGAGGAAGGUAGGGGAGAAUGGAAUUCCUGGUGGAGCGGUGGAAUGCGCAGAUAUCAGGAGGAACACCAGUGGCGAAGGCGGUUCUCUGGGCCUUUCCUGACGCUGAGGAGCGAAAGCGUGGGGAGCGAACAGGCUUAGAUACCCUGGUAGUCCACGCUGUAAACGGUGGGUACUAGGUGUGGGGUCCAUUCCACGGGUUCCGUGCCGUAGCUAACGCUUUAAGUACCCCGCCUGGGGAGUACGGCCGCAAGGCUAAAACUCAAAGGAAUUGACGGGGCCCCGCACGAGCGGCGGAGCAUGCGGAUUAAUUCGAUGCAACGCGUAGAACCUUACCUGGGUUUGACAUGGAUCGGGAGUGCUCAGAGAUGGGUGUGCCUCUUUUGGGGUCGGUUCACAGGUGGUGCAUGGCUGUCGUCAGCUCGUGUCGUGAGAUGUUGGGUUAAGUCCCGCAACGAGCGCAACCCUUGUUCACUGUUGCCAGCACGUUAUGGUGGGGACUCAGUGGAGACCGCCGGGGUCAACUCGGAGGAAGGUGGGGAUGACGUCAAGUCAUCAUGCCCCUUAUGUCCAGGGCUUCACGCAUGCUACAAUGGCUGGUACAGAGAGUGGCGAGCCUGUGAGGGUGAGCGAAUCUCGGAAAGCCGGUCUCAGUUCGGAUUGGGGUCUGCAACUCGACCUCAUGAAGUCGGAGUCGCUAGUAAUCGCAGAUCAGCAACGCUGCGGUGAAUACGUUCCCGGG